Molecule: long non-coding RNA, 815 nt
Organism: Erinaceus europaeus (western European hedgehog)
Lineage: Eukaryota; Metazoa; Chordata; Mammalia; Eulipotyphla; Erinaceidae
Exons: 2
Source: RefSeq, a predicted model, not a curated record
GAUGAGGGUUAUAUGAUGGAGGGAGCCAGGCACACUCCCUGCUUAGAGAAAGCACGGUGGAGAGAUAAUGCAGCGAAGUCUCCCAAGAGGUCUGGGUGGCUGGUUCCUGGGGAAACAACAGAGCAAUUAGCUUUGGCAGGCAGAGCUGGAUCUCUCUUCCAUUAAAACAGAGCUCCAGACUCUAAUGUUGGCAACGAUAUAACCGUGCUAGAGGAAAGCAAUGAAAAUGCAGAGAGACCUUUACAAAAAUGGGCAAGAGAGUUCCCCGGGGGGAUACCGGUUGCAAUUGCUUAAGUGUUUAGCUACAAGAACCAGCAACCACCUGAAAAAGCUGGCCUGGAGCAGUGCUGCUUCUUCAGUGAUGACAGACAUCAAGAAGACCCCGUCUUGCUUGUCCCCGAACCCACCUCCUCAUCUUCUGCCUUCACCUUCUACCUGUGCAAACAUGCUCUGGAAACACAAGAAGGGGAAGUUGAUUUGAACAUCCUCUGGCCUCCAAUGCAAAAGAACAUUCCUUCCUUUCUACAAAGCUGACAUGAAGGGAGUCAGGAGACAGCGCAGCGGUGUAAGCGCAUGUGGCACGAAGCGCAAGGACCGGCAGAAAGGUCCCGGUUCGAGCCCCCGGCUCCCCAACUGCUGGGGAGUCGCUUCACAGGUGGUGAAGCAGGUCUGCAAGUGUCUAUCUUUCUCUCCUCCUCUCUGUCUUCCCCUCCUCUCUCCAUUUCUCUCUGUCCUAUCCAACAAUGACGACAUCAACAACAAUAACAACUACAACAACAAUAAAAAAAACAAGGGCAACAAAAGGGAAAAAUAAA